GGUAGCUCAGUGGUAGAGCACACGGCUGGAGAUCAGGACUCUGGUUGGAGUCGUGGGUUCGAAUCCCACUC
Molecule: non-coding RNA, 71 nt
Organism: Tetraodon nigroviridis (spotted green pufferfish)
Lineage: Eukaryota; Metazoa; Chordata; Actinopteri; Tetraodontiformes; Tetraodontidae
Source: Rfam